RNAcentral lists this long non-coding RNA (744 nucleotides) under Ananas comosus (pineapple). RNAcentral describes it as "long non-coding RNA (ACOM_LNC000345)". The record is from RNAcentral. Lineage: Eukaryota; Viridiplantae; Streptophyta; Magnoliopsida; Poales; Bromeliaceae.
AAAGAUGAUACCCAAUUUGUUAAGUAUCCAGCUCAAAAAAAUAUUGAAUUUAAAUUUAAAUUUAAUUUUUGAAAUUGGUAUUGUAAUGUAAAAUUUUAAUUUUGAAAUUUAUAUUAAAUUUUUAAAUUUGAAUCUAAAUUGAACUUUUAAUCUUAAAGCCAAACUUUAAUUUUUGAUUUAAAUUGAAAUUUUGAAUUGGAACUAAAAUUUUUAUUUUAAAUAUGUGUUUUAUAUUUAAAAAAAUUUGAAUUUGAUUUAUAAAGUUUUAAAUGUUGUUUUGAAUUUAAAUUUACAGCUUGGUUGUAAUUUGAAAUUCAACUAUUAUUGUAGGUAUUUAAGAGGGUGACAAUAUUCUUAGUUGAAUAAAACAAGUUUUGUUAACCAAACUAUCUUAUAAAGACUAAAAUACCCUUUAAAUAGGUAUCUGGUGAAUGGUACCUAUGCUUCAAUAGCAAGUCACCUCUAGAAUCAUAUUAAAUCUAAACCAUCUAUUAAAAAAAAUAAAUGGUCAAGAUUUUUGUGGUGUAUUGAGGUAUUCCUUUUUGAAAUUUAGUAAAGAGAAGUAUUUGCUCUCGGGCUUGGGUUUUUAGUUUUGGUCGAGUUUUGUUUUGAUUAUGGAUUUCUGAAAUAUGAUGUGUUUGGAUUCAGAUUUAGUAGUCAAGUUCGAGUUCGGAUUUUUAAAAUUCUACUCUGAAUCCAACCUACUAACAUUCCUAUUCUUAUAUUUUUAUGUUUUUUCUCAUA